UACGUAGGGGGCAAGCGUUAUCCGGAUUUACUGGGUGUAAAGGGAGCGUAGACGGUGAUGCAAGUCAGAAGUGAAAUACCGGGGCUCAACCCCGGGGCUGCAUUGGAAACUGGCAGGCUGGAGUGCCGGAGAGGCAGGCGGAAUUCCUAGUGUAGCGGUGAAAUGCGUAGAUAUUAGGAGGAACACCAGUGGCGAAGGCGGCCUGCUGGGCUCUAACUGACGCUGAGGCACGAAAGCGUGGGUAGCAAACAGG
This 253-nucleotide ribosomal RNA is filed under the name uncultured Lachnospiraceae bacterium. RNAcentral describes it as "partial 16S ribosomal RNA". It matches the Rfam family "Bacterial small subunit ribosomal RNA", at positions 524 to 776 of the family's 1533-position model. Lineage: Bacteria; Bacillati; Bacillota; Clostridia; Lachnospirales; Lachnospiraceae. The record is from RNAcentral.